GAUGAACGCUGGCGGCGUGCCUAAUACAUGCAAGUCGAGCGAACAGACGAGGAGCUUGCUCCUCUGACGUUAGCGGCGGACGGGUGAGUAACACGUGGAUAACCUACCUAUAAGACUGGGAUAACUUCGGGAAACCGGAGCUAAUACCGGAUAAUAUAUUGAACCGCAUGGUUCAAUAGUGAAAGACGGUUUUGCUGUCACUUAUAGAUGGAUCCGCGCCGCAUUAGAUAGUUGGUAAGGUAACGGCUUACCAAGGCAACGAUGCGUAGCCGACCUGAGAGGGUGGUCGGCCACACGGGAGCUGAGACACGGUCCAGACUCCUACGGGAGGCAGCAGUAGGGAAUCUUCCGCAAUGGGCGAAAGCCUGACGGAGCAACGCCGCGUGUGUUAUGAAGGUCUUCGGAUCGUAAAACCCUGUUAUUAGGGAAGAACAACUUUGUAAGUAACUAUGCACGUCUUGACGGUACCUAAUCAGAAAGCCACGGCUAACUACGUG
This 497-nucleotide ribosomal RNA is filed under the name uncultured bacterium. RNAcentral's name for it is "partial 16S ribosomal RNA". It matches the Rfam family "Bacterial small subunit ribosomal RNA", at positions 28 to 507 of the family's 1533-position model. The record is from RNAcentral.